CUGCCUCCUGGCUGCUCACUUAAUACAGACACUUUACACGAGUGUAACGUUUUAUAGGUUAAAAUCUCUUUUGCACACGUUAUCUUGGUUGGUCUGCGCAGAACUUCUGUGAGGUGUUUUUUUAAUCCUGUUUUACGAUUGGGCAAGGUCUCAGAGAAGAUGAGCAACUUCCCCAAAGGCACCCAAUUCAUAGUCACGUUGGAAACCCCCAAAGCUUACAUUUCAGCCAUAAUUAAAUGUGCAUUUGCUAGCAUCUGUAAUUUAACUUUAUCAAGUCCAGGAAUUUCCAUUCAGCAGCAGCUGGGACUCUCUGGCACUCCCUUGCCAUCAGAGCAUCUGGCCCUUUUGACUGAAUGCUCUUAAUAGUGGUGAAUAUUUAUUGAGCAUCUACUCUGGAGCAGCCCGUGCUGAGUGUUUCUGUUCAUCGCCCCGCUCUAGCCUCAACAAUCGCCUGUUCAUUGGGGGAUCCUGACUCCAUCUCCAGCCCAGGCCUCCCUCAUUCCCAUCCAGAUACCACACAGCUGCUUAUAAGUGGGAUCGUUACUCAGAUCUAGGAAUCCAGCAUGAGAAUAUUCAAACACCUGUCUUUUCCCCACACUCUUCAACUGAGUCUGCAAGCUCCGUGGAGAGCAGAGGCAGCACAUUUUCAUCUUCAAAUCCUCUUCAGUCCAUAGUUUCGCGUUUUGUACACAAUAGUUGCUCAACGUUUAUUGGCUUCAGUGUACAUUUUAUCAGUAGCGUGUCUAAAUCAAGCCAAUAAGGAAGAAGUGGAAAUUGAUGACUUUGGCCACUAGAUGUCAUACCACACUUAACGGUCAACAAAAAAUUCUGUUAUUCGAAAUUUCACUUCGAUUUUAGCAUGAAAGUAAAUCUUGUGUUACAGUGGUCUCUAAUCUCAACCGUUUAAAACAAAGUAUCGACCAGACUUUUCUUGGUCUUCAGCCCUUCCAUGGAUUCCCGCUGCUUCUAGAGGAUCAAUGUGCUGCACCGUGGCCUCUGACACCAUGCCGCCCCUUGCUGCUCUAGCCUCACCUGCCGGGUCUGUCCCAACUGCCCUCUCCACCUCUCUACCCAGGGAGUCUCUAAGCUUCCUUCAGAUCUCAGUUCAAGAGCCGCCCCACCUGAUGGAAGGUUUCCAUGAUUGCUCCCUGUAUUAGUUUCCUGUGGCUGCUGUAACAUAUUACCCCAAAGUAGUGGCUUAAAGCAACACACAUUUUUUUCUCUUACAGUUCUCUCCAGAGUCCAAAAUUGGCCUCACCGGGCUAAAAUCAAGGUGCCGGCAGGGCGGCAUUCCUUUUGGAGGCUCUGGGAGAGAGUCUGUUUUCUUAACUUUUCCAGCUUCUAAAGGUGGCCUGCAUUCCUUGGCUUGUGGCACCUCCGGUCUUCAAGGCCAGCAAUCACAUCCCUCAGAACUCUGACCUCUGCUUCUGUGGCCACAUCAUCCCCAACUCUCCUGACCUUUCCCCAUCUAAGGCCCUUGUGAUCACAUCGGGCCUACCCAGAUAACCCAGGAUCGUCUUCUUGUCUUAAGGCUCUCGAGUGUUGACAUGUAGACAGGCUCUAGAAGUGUCGAUUGCAUUAAAGAAUCUCCAGAAUAACAGUUGGGAGCAUCCAGCAAUUGAAGAGUUACAGAGGUUAAGCCCAGCUCCACGCACAGGGCUCUGGAUCCCGGAGAACUGAGUGAUGGCAUGUCGCAGAACACUGAGAGGCAUUUGCUGUCCUUUGAAGAGUGUGAGUCACCGUCUGGCCUCAGAACACCCACACACUCUCAGCUAAUGUGUCCAUCCCUAAGGUUAGAGCUGCAGACGCUGUCCACAGCUAAGCCCAGGCUCUCAGAGCCUUACCGGGAAAUGCACAGGGUAUCCUUCAUUUUAGACUAAAGAAAGCACUUUCCCAUUGUGGGAGCUGAGGAGGGCUGCAGCUGAGGUGGCUUUUGGCCCAAAGCAUGUGAACACACCCUUUCUCUCUGGCCUGGACUUUCCCCAGCUGGUACAGUGUUUUCCACCCUGAACUGGUAGAUCAAAGCCCACACAGGUCAUCCUUUCGCUGUGAAGUGCAGUGCGCACCCACUAUUCGCCAGCCCUUUGCUUCAUUGUGUAGCUUGAGCUGCUGCAGGAUGCUACUGACAAUGUCCGUGGAGAAGACUGGACUAAUUUCACAUGCCACUUAGUGGAUGUUAAAUAAUUCUCUCAUUGCACAUAGCAAAAACAUAAAAACUUUUGCGACUUUUUUCUUUACCAGAGCAAUAUAUAUUUAACAUAAAAACUUUAGAAAUAACCUCUAACACUAAUACGCAGAAGUAACCAGUAUUAGCAUUUUCCCCCAGCUUUGUUGAGGUAUAAUUGACCAAUAAAAAUUGUAUAUAUUUAAGGCAUACAAUACUAUGUUUUGAAAGGCAUAUACGUUGUGAAAUGAUUGAUUACCACAGUCAAGCUAUUUAACGUAUCUACAACCUCACAAUGUUUGAGGGUUUUUUUUGUGGUGAGAACAUUUCAGAUCAACUCUCUUAGCAAAUUUCAGGUAUACGAUAUAGUAGUGUUAGCAAUAGUCACCAUGAUCUCCACAGCUUAUUCAUCCUGCAUGACUGAGACUGUACCCCUGGACCAUCUCCCCGUUUGUCCCACCCCCCCCGCCACCCCCACCACUUCCCCAGUCCCUGGCAACCACAGUUCUACUCUCUGCUUUUAUUAAUUCAACUUUUUGAGAUCC
This 2709-nucleotide long non-coding RNA is filed under the name Equus caballus (horse). RNAcentral describes it as "lncRNA (ENSECAG00000044408.1)". Lineage: Eukaryota; Metazoa; Chordata; Mammalia; Perissodactyla; Equidae. The record is from RNAcentral.